AUUUUGCUUUGUAUUAUAUUUUCUUUAAUAUUUCUGCUUGCAUGGGCCUGACAAUUAGUUCUCUCUCUUGUUUUUCUGCUGUCCUCAAAAACAAAGCAAAGCAAAGCGUUGUGGAGUUAGGAUUCCAAGUUGAAGGCCCAGCCCCUCCUGGGUAUUGAGUCUUGGUUUUCAUGUAUGUCAGGUAAACAUUCUACCACUGAGUUAGACCCCAGCACUUUGCCUGUUUCUUUGUUUUGAGAGAAGUUGCCCAGGCUUGCCUUCCCCUGCUGCCUCAGCCUCCCCUGGAACUGUUGUUUCAAGCCUGAGCCACCAGGCUUUUCUGUCCUUCCUGAGUCCUCCCAUAUGGUUUCAACCUCCUUACCUCCACUCACCUGUUUUCCCUCUUUCUGAAAAAUACCAAACCAAAUCAAAUAAAACAAAAGACCAAGAAAACAAAAUAAAACAAACAAACAAAAAGCUCAAAAUAAAAACAAAAAACCCCAACAAUGAUAACAAUGCCCCAUAACAGCAUCACCACAACAAAAAAUGAACACACACACACACAUACACACACAUACACACACACAUGCACACACAUGCACACACACAUACACACACAUACACACAUACAGACACAUACACACACAGACACACAGACACACACACAGACACACACAUGUACACACACACAUACACACACAUGCACACACAUAUACACACAUACACAUACAGACACACACAGACACACACACACACAUACACACAUACAGACACAUACACACACAGACACACACAGACACACACAGACACACAUACACACACACAUACACACACAUACACACACAUACACACACAUGCACACACACAUGCACACACACAUACACACACACAGACACACACACAUACACACACAUACACACACAUACACACAUAGACACACACACAUACACACAUAGACACACACACAUACACACACAGACACACACAUACACACACAUACACAUACACACACAUACACAUACACACAGACACACACACAGACACACACAUACACCUAGACACACACACACACACACACACACACACACACACACACACACCAUAGCUCUCAUUUUGUGCUGGCCAACCAUCCCAUGAAGUCUGCCCUGGGGUGUAAUUGACAUAUGCAGUGAUGCUCCAUUGUAGAAAAUUAAGUUUACUUCUCCCAGUAAACUGGCUACUCAUUGCAAUUAGCUUCUAAGUUAGGGGUAGGACUUUUUGCCCACCUCUCCUCUGUGCUAGGAUUUCCUCUGGCUUGAAGUAGUGUGGGUGUUGUACAAGUUACCAUGGUUUCUCUGAGUUCAUGUGCUAAGGCAGUUUAAAAAUACAUUGGUGGAAGUCAGUUACAAAAUAAAGGGACAAUCUCAGCGAUAGGUCUCAGAUAUGACCUGACCACAUAGAACCUUAGCUUCUUAGCUGGUAGAAACUAGGUUUCUGUUGUUCUAUACUAAUGGAUUUACCCAAUGACUACCAAAGACCUUAAGCCACAAAUAGAGGCUAACAAAUGAAUCGGGGAAGUCUAAAGCUUGGCCCCAAAUAAUUUGGCUAUAGACCUGUAACAUUCCAACCCUCCACAUCACUGAAGUUAUAGUCAGUUUAUUAGCAUCGUAGAAGGCUCAGUGUAAGGUGAGGAUUCUUGGGGCUUUUACUCACAAUAGUUUCCAAUAAAACCUUCCAUAAGUAAACUCCAGGAAAUAGGUCAGGAAGGAAAGAUGAUUCCCUUCAUUCAGAAACUAAUACCAACAAUUGACCCAGGGACUCUUGUACAGCUAAAACGCUUUUUGUAUGGCAAAGAAGAAUCUCUUGAGAAGGAAGUGCACAGAGGAAGUGUGAAUUCUUGCCAACUGCAGAUCCCGUAGAUGACUCAUGUCUAGGACACACAAAGAAGUCAAAAUAACAAAGAAAGUUUCAAAUGACCAGUUUUUAAAAAGGGCUGUGGAUCAGAGGAGGGAGUUCUCAAAAGAAUUAGAAACGGCCGAGAAAUAUAUUUUUAAAAAAGCACUCAGCAUCCUUAGCAGUGAGGGAAGUGUCUACGAAAACUGGUUACGUUGUCUUACCCGAGUUGGAAUGGCUAAGAUCAAAGGAGAAGCUGACAGCACAUGCUGGCGUGUGGAAUCAGGAUCAAACUGUAUGAGUGGAAACAGACGUGCCUUCCUUGUGGGAGUACGAAAGUCCUUGCUCUCACAAACAAUGCUGGGGAAACCAGGUCAGCCCCAGUACCUGGAGCUCUUUGGCUGAGGCUUGGCUCACUGCUACAAGUUGCCUUGUCCAUGUGUACAACAGUUCUCGUUCCUGCUUGACUGGGCCCAGUGUGGGAAGACCUGAGCUCAACUGGGCAUGAAGAGAUGACUGUGGAGUAAGACAAAGAUGGAUACGCACAAGCAAGGAGACAGACCCUGGACCAGAGUGAGGAGUCCCUGUCUCUGGAGAUGACACACUUGAUCAUUUUAUGGGAACCUGAUAUCCUGGCGCCAACAGGCAGUGCCCAGCACUAAUGGGAUAUUACAGCGUCCAGAGUUGUCCUCAGCGGCUAGCACGGAGAAAGGAUGAAGGCAAGAGCAAGAAGAUUCCUCUUUGCACAGGACAUUUGCACAUGCUGUUUCUUCUUGGGAUACCCUCUGCUCACCAGACAUUGAGAGAACGAGUGCUGUCUCUGACGCUCUUCCAACACUUGGAGAUAUCACCUGAAUAACUCAAUGGAACAUUUCCUUGAAGGUCUUACAGAGCUUAGAAGGGGCUACCCUGAUGACCUACCUCAGCUGCCAGCCUUGUAUUCUCCCUGAAGAGACAUGGCGUGAGGGCCACACCACUCUCAGAAAUGGCCCUGUGGAAGAGGUUCUUGGUCAGUGGAGACAAAACCUGGAAGGAAGAGAGGAGGGAAGUCUAUGCUUAAGGGAGAUGGCCACCAACCUGCUCAUCUUGUAAGGUUUCCUCCGCCUAUACUCCUUGCCUGCAGACUCCAAUUCUCUCAGGAUGUGACAGCUCCUGACCUGCCUUUGCUUUCUUCCCAGCUUUCUUCAGAGUCAGGGAUAGAGUUGGGAAUAUGUGGCAUGCACCCAUUCUGAUAAUCAACAACACCGGAAGGAAAGAUUUCGCAGUUCCUAGCUACAAACUCUAUUUCAGUGUCCCUAAUACUCAGAAAGUGUCCCAGAGAAAACGAUCAUGAUCAUCUGUGAAAUUAUUUCAAAGACAUUUACUUGAUGAGGGGUAAGGAUUAUACUUCUCUGUAAGACAGAUAUUUAGAACUUAGGGUUUUCUCCAGUGGAGUGAUGCUGGGUACUUAUCAAGUGUUUAUCAAACACACUGAAGAGCAGGUCCCAUGCUUUAGGAAUAAACAGUCAACGACACAAGAAGAAA
This is a non-coding RNA of Rattus norvegicus (Norway rat), 3375 nucleotides long. NCBI's taxonomy places the organism in Eukaryota, Metazoa, Chordata, Mammalia, Rodentia, Muridae. The record is from RefSeq and is a predicted model, not a curated record.